Small nuclear RNA from Callithrix jacchus (white-tufted-ear marmoset), 122 nucleotides. Lineage: Eukaryota; Metazoa; Chordata; Mammalia; Primates; Cebidae. The record is from Ensembl.
GUGUUGUAUGAAAGGAGAGAAGGUUAGCACUCCCCUUGUCAAGGUUGGAAGGGGCCCUCGGGCCUGACGACAUGCAUACAGUUAAGAAACCCACAUGCUAAACCAAGCAACGACUCAGAUCU